CCCUUAGAUGUUCUGGGCCGCACACGCGCUACACUGAAGGAGGCAGCGUGUACUCCUGGAUCGAAAGAUUUGGGUAACCCGCGAAUCUCCUUCGUGCUAGGGAUUGAGGUUUGCAAUUAUCCUUCAUGAACGAGGAAUUCCCAGUAAGUGCAAGUCAUAAGCUUGCGCUGACUACGUCCCUGCCCUUUGUACACACCGCCCGUCGCUACUACCGAUUGAAUGAUCCGGUGAAGCGUUCGGACCGUGGCCUUUGGACGGUUCGCCGUCUGUUGGCUGCGGGAAGUUCGUUAAACCUUAUCAUUUAGAGGAAGGAGAAGUCGUAACA
This 325-nucleotide ribosomal RNA is filed under the name uncultured eukaryote. RNAcentral describes it as "partial 18S ribosomal RNA". It matches the Rfam family "Eukaryotic small subunit ribosomal RNA", at positions 1470 to 1796 of the family's 1831-position model. The record is from RNAcentral.